Molecule: unclassified non-coding RNA, 474 nt
Filed under: Microcystis aeruginosa LMECYA 136
Lineage: Bacteria; Bacillati; Cyanobacteriota; Cyanophyceae; Chroococcales; Microcystaceae
Description: partial contains 16S ribosomal RNA, 16S-23S ribosomal RNA intergenic spacer, and 23S ribosomal RNA
Rfam family: Bacterial small subunit ribosomal RNA (bases 1-108)
Source: RNAcentral
GUCAUUACCUCAACCGCAAGGAGGGGGAUGCCUAAGGCAGGGCUAGUGACUGGGGUGAAGUCGUAACAAGGUAGCCGUACCGGAAGGUGUGGCUGGAUCACCUCCUUAAAGGGAGACCUAAUUCAGGUAGGCGACGAAAAAAAAGUAGUCCCUACCAAGAAUCAAUCCCAAAAGGUCGGAGCGAGGCAAAAUUGGCUUUCAAACUAGGUUCUGGGUUCACAUAAGACCUGAAUCAGGAACAAGGGCUAUUAGCUCAGGUGGUUAGAGCGCACCCCUGAUAAGGGUGAGGUCCCUGGUUCGAGUCCAGGAUGGCCCACCUGCACAGGUGGCCAAAACAAAGAAAAAAAGCUCCGAAUCAGCACCUUAUCUUAUUUAUAUAUAAGAGAGAAUGCUGGCUCUGAGUAAAGAGUCCAGAGGAACCUUGAAAACUGCAUAGAGCUAGGUGAAAAAGCCAAAAAAGAAGACCGCAAGGUC